GAUGAACGCUGGCGGCGUGCCUAAUACAUGCAAGUAGAACGCUGAAGGAGGAGCUUGCUCUUCUGGAUGAGUUGCGAACGGGUGAGUAACGCGUAGGUAACCUGCCUGGUAGCGGGGGAUAACUAUUGGAAACGAUAGCUAAUACCGCAUGACAACAGUUAUUGCAUGAUAACUGUUUAAAAGGGGCAACUGCUCCACUACCAGAUGGACCUGCGUUGUAUUAGCUAGUUGGUGAGGUAACGGCUCACCAAGGCGACGAUACAUAGCCGACCUGAGAGGGUGAUCAGCCACACUGGGACUGAGACACGGCCCAGACUCCUACGGGAGGCAGCAGUAGGGAAUCUUCGGCAAUGGACGGAAGUCUGACCGAGCAACGCCGCGUGAGUGAAGAAGGUUUUCGGAUCGUAAAGCUCUGUUGUAAGAGAAGAACGAGUGUGAGAGUGGAAAGUUCACACUGUGACGGUAUCUUACCAGAAAGGGACGGCUAACUACGUG
RNAcentral lists this ribosomal RNA (495 nucleotides) under uncultured bacterium. RNAcentral describes it as "partial 16S ribosomal RNA". It matches the Rfam family "Bacterial small subunit ribosomal RNA", at positions 28 to 507 of the family's 1533-position model. The record is from RNAcentral.